CCUUUAGUCAUUUUAUUCUUUAUUACUGUUGCGAUUAAUAAAAACAUUUUACAGAUCAGAUGGUUAGAUUAGUCUAAUCUAAGAAAUUUUAAGUGGGUUUCUACCAGUGAUAAAAUUAUGAAGGGUGAACGCUUCAGAUUAUCAUAAGCGUAUGCCAAAUGGACGGUAGAUAACAACAAAAGCACGGUAACUUGAUGCCUUUAUUGCCUCUGCAUACUUCUCUGCAGGCAUUAUUAACUGACUGGAAGGCAAAAGAAGAAACGAGAAUGAGGACAACGAUCAAGUGAAAGAAAAAAGAAGAAGCCAGGAAGAGGACGAAAGAGGACGAAAGAUCAUAUCAUCUCCCGUCUCUUUGCCUCUCACACGUAAGUACAGAGCCAUCCGUUCACAAGUCACCGCCACUACGGCCUUUCCUAAAAUGGCAAAAGACCGCGCGCGCGCGCAUCUCCCAUUCUUCUUCUUUCUGUACAGAGAUCUGACUCGUUUCUUUGGUCUCCUUCGUCGGUCAGUUAUUUCACUCUGAUGUUAGAUAUUAAGGAGAGAGAGAUUUUCUCUUGCCAGAAAAAGAAAAAGGAAAAAAGA
This is a long non-coding RNA of Magnolia sinica, 582 nucleotides long. RefSeq lists it as uncharacterized. NCBI's taxonomy places the organism in Eukaryota, Viridiplantae, Streptophyta, Magnoliopsida, Magnoliales, Magnoliaceae. The transcript is spliced from 2 exons. The record is from RefSeq and is a predicted model, not a curated record.